UAGCCGGCCUGAGAGGGCGACCGGCCACACUGGGACUGAGACACGGCCCAGACUCCUACGGGAGGCAGCAGUGGGGAAUAUUGCACAAUGGGCGAAAGCCUGAUGCAGCGACGCCGCGUGAGGGAUGACGGCCUUCGGGUUGUAAACCUCUUUCAGCAGGGAAGAAGCGAAAGUGACGGUACCUGCAGAAGAAGCGCCGGCUAACUACGUGCCAGCAGCCGCGGUAAUACGUAGGGCGCAAGCGUUGUCCGGAAUUAUUGGGCGUAAAGAGCUCGUAGGCGGCUUGUCACGUCGGUUGUGAAAGCCCGGGGCUUAACCCCGGGUCUGCAGUCGAUACGGGCAGGCUAGAGUUCGGUAGGGGAGAUCGGAAUUCCUGGUGUAGCGGUGAAAUGCGCAGAUAUCAGGAGGAACACCGGUGGCGAAGGCGGAUCUCUGGGCCGAUACUGACGCUGAGGAGCGAAAGCGUGGGGAGCGAACAGGAUUAGAUACCCUGGUAGUCCACGCCGUAAACGGUGGGCACUAGGUGUGGGCAACAUUCCACGUUGUCCGUGCCGCAGCUAACGCAUUAAGUGCCCCGCCUGGGGGAGUACGGGG
This 594-nucleotide ribosomal RNA is filed under the name Streptomyces sp. RNAcentral describes it as "bacterial SSU rRNA". It matches the Rfam family "Bacterial small subunit ribosomal RNA", at positions 284 to 887 of the family's 1533-position model. The record is from RNAcentral. Lineage: Bacteria; Bacillati; Actinomycetota; Actinomycetes; Kitasatosporales; Streptomycetaceae.